Molecule: ribosomal RNA, 140 nt
Filed under: uncultured eukaryote
Lineage: Eukaryota
Description: partial 18S ribosomal RNA
Rfam family: Eukaryotic small subunit ribosomal RNA
Source: RNAcentral
UGGUGGAGUGAUUUGUCUGGUUAAUUCCGUUAACGAACGAGACCUCGACCUGCUAAAUAGGUCGCAGAACUUUCUAGUUCUCGCGGGACUUCUUAGAGGGACUAUCGGUUGCAAACCGAUGGAAGUUCGAGGCAAUAACA